RNAcentral lists this ribosomal RNA (388 nucleotides) under uncultured bacterium. RNAcentral's name for it is "bacterial SSU rRNA". It matches the Rfam family "Bacterial small subunit ribosomal RNA", at positions 355 to 760 of the family's 1533-position model. The record is from RNAcentral.
UAGGGAAUAUUAGUAAUGGGCGCAAGCCUGAACUAGCAACGCCGCGUGUGCGAAGAAGGCCUUCGGGUUGUAAAGCACUUUUUGAGAGGAUGAGGAAGGACGGUACUCUCAGAAUAAGUCUCGGCUAACUACGUGCCAGCAGCCGCGGUAACACGUAGGAGGCGAACGUUAUCCGGAUUUACUGGGCGUAAAGCGCGUGUAGGUGGUUUGGUAAGUAGGGCGUGAAAGCUCCUGGCUCAACUGGGAGAGGCCGUUCUAAACUGCCGAACUAGAGGAUGGUAGAGGGAGGUGGAAUUCCGGGUGUAGCGGUGGAAUGCGCAGAUAUCCGGAGAAACACCAGUGGCGAAAGCGGCCUCCUGGACCAUUACUGACACGCAGACGCGAAAGC